GCAAACUUGGUCAUUUAGAGGAAGUAAAAGUCGUAACAAGGUUUCCGUAGGUGAACCUGCGGAAGGAUCAUUAAAGAACAAAGGACCGUGAGAUCAGCCGUUGGUUGGCUUCUAUAUGAUUCAGACCGAUGAUCCCCUUGACGAAGGGAGGAGGUGCUGGUCUUAUUGCAUGCGAUGGGACCUAACAAAGGUUCACUGGGUAGAGACCCCAUUUCCCGUUAGCCUGCUGUUAUGGCAGAAACCGGCUCGGGACCGGUUGAAUCUCAUAGAGGGCUCUUUUGCUGAUCGAGCGGGUCCCUAUCCACCUUCAUUUCACCCCCUAUGUGAACCUUUGCGCAUGCUGGUACAGAGUCAUCUGGAAGGCUUGCGACUUCUAUAUACCCCUGUAAGAUAAGUUUCAGAAUGCUACCUUGCGUUUAACCGCAUCCAAUACAACUUUCAGCAACGGAUCUCUUGGCUCUCGCAUCGAUGAAGAACGCAGC
RNAcentral lists this unclassified non-coding RNA (482 nucleotides) under uncultured fungus. Its description in RNAcentral is "partial contains small subunit ribosomal RNA, internal transcribed spacer 1, and 5.8S ribosomal RNA". The stretch from base 1 to 73 matches the Rfam family "Eukaryotic small subunit ribosomal RNA", at positions 1759 to 1831 of the family's 1831-position model. Lineage: Eukaryota; Fungi. The record is from RNAcentral.